AAUUGCAAUGUCGACCACAUCAACAUAUAUUAAACUGAUGGUCGUCCUCACCCUGAUUGCAUGUUCACUUGUGUGGGGAUCUGAGAGUUCCGUCCGGUUGGAGCCAAUGUCCUCAUCAAGUUUUAAGACUUGCAAGGUUACUCUCGGGUUUUGCAACCGCGAUUGUCUCACUGGAUGUUGUGGCAAAAGGUGUUCGAAACAGUUCAAAAAUGGCACAGGAAAAUGUAUGGAACCAAUGCUACCUACGGCACCGUGUUUGUGCCAAUACACUUGUUAGAAUGUAAUCCACCUAUUUGUGUUUUCUACA
Erigeron canadensis is the source of this 307-nucleotide long non-coding RNA. RefSeq lists it as uncharacterized. The transcript has 2 exons. Lineage: Eukaryota; Viridiplantae; Streptophyta; Magnoliopsida; Asterales; Asteraceae. The record is from RefSeq and is a predicted model, not a curated record.